GAUGAACGCUAGCGAUAGGCUUAACACAUGCAAGUCGAGGGGUAACAUGUCGGAAGCUUGCUUCUGAUGAUGACGACCGGCGGAUGGGUGCGUAACGCGUAUGCAACUUGCCUCACAGUGGAGGAUAACCCGGAGAAAUCCGGACUAAUACUCCAUACACUCCGUAGGAUGCAUAUCCAAUGGAGGAAAGAUUUAUCGCUGUGAGAUAGGCAUGCGUCCUAUUAGGUAGUUGGUGAGGUA
This 240-nucleotide ribosomal RNA is filed under the name uncultured Porphyromonas sp. RNAcentral's name for it is "partial 16S ribosomal RNA". It matches the Rfam family "Bacterial small subunit ribosomal RNA", at positions 28 to 259 of the family's 1533-position model. The record is from RNAcentral. Lineage: Bacteria; Pseudomonadati; Bacteroidota; Bacteroidia; Bacteroidales; Porphyromonadaceae.